RNAcentral lists this non-coding RNA (28 nucleotides) under Homo sapiens (human). The record is from RNAcentral. Lineage: Eukaryota; Metazoa; Chordata; Mammalia; Primates; Hominidae.
UACCAUGGUCAUUGUGGGUAAACUCCUG